This 460-nucleotide ribosomal RNA is filed under the name uncultured bacterium. RNAcentral describes it as "partial 16S ribosomal RNA". It matches the Rfam family "Bacterial small subunit ribosomal RNA", at positions 338 to 795 of the family's 1533-position model. The record is from RNAcentral.
CCUACGGGAGACAGCAGUGAGGAAUAUUGGUCAAUGGACGCAAGUCUGAACCAGCCAUGCCGCGUGCAGGAAGACGGCUCUAUGAGUUGUAAACUGCUUUUGUACGAGGGUAAAUCCCGAUACGUGUAUCGGGUCGAAAGUAUCGUACGAAUAAGGAUCGGCUAACUCCGUGCCAGCAGCCGCGGUAAUACGGAGGAUUCAAGCGUUAUCCGGAUUUAUUGGGUUUAAAGGGUGCGUAGGCGGUUCGAUAAGUUAGAGGUGAAAUCCCGGGGCUCAACUCCGGCACUGCCUCUGAUACUGUCGGGCUAGAGUUUAGUUGCGGUAGGCGGAAUGUAUGGUGUAGCGGUGAAAUGCAUAGAGAUCAUACAGAACACCGAUUGCGAAGGCAGCUUACCAAACUACGACUGACGUUGAGGCACGAAAGCGUGGGGAGCAAACAGGAUUAGAUACCCUGGUAGUC